RNAcentral lists this ribosomal RNA (491 nucleotides) under uncultured bacterium. RNAcentral's name for it is "bacterial SSU rRNA". It matches the Rfam family "Bacterial small subunit ribosomal RNA", at positions 374 to 882 of the family's 1533-position model. The record is from RNAcentral.
GGCGAAAGCCUGACGGAGCAAUGCCGCGUGUGGGAUGAAGCAUCUUCGAUGUGUAAACCACUGUCAAGAUCUAGGAAUACUGACCAGAUCUAAAGGAAGGGCCGGCUAAUUCCGUGCCAGCAGCCGCGGUAAUACGGAAGGCCCGAGCGUUAAUCGGAAUCACUGGGCUUAAAGCGUACGCAGGCGGACUUGUAGGUAUUCUGUGAAAUCCCACGGCUUAACCGUGGAACUGCAGGGUAAACCACAAGUCUUGAGACAUGUAGGGGUCAGUGGAACUAUGAGUGGAGCGGUGAAAUGCGUAGAUAUUCAUGGGAACGCCAAUGGCGAAGGCAGCUGACUGGGCAUGUUCUGACGCUCAGGUACGAAAGCGUGGGUAGCGAACGGGAUUAGAUACCCCGGUAGUCCACGCCGUAAACGAUGCACACUAGGUCGUGGGAUCUCUCAUGAUUUCGCGGCCGAAGGUAAACUGAUUAGUGUGCCGCCUGGGAGUA